Molecule: ribosomal RNA, 713 nt
Filed under: uncultured bacterium
Lineage: Bacteria
Description: bacterial SSU rRNA
Rfam family: Bacterial small subunit ribosomal RNA
Source: RNAcentral
AGAGUUUGAUCCUGGCUCAGGAUGAACGCUAGCGGCAGGCUUAAUACAUGCAAGUCGAACGGUAAUUCCGAUACUUGUAUCGGGAACGAGUGGCGCACGGGUGCGUAACGCGUAUGCAACCUACCUUUAACCGGGGAAUAGCCCAGAGAAAUCUGAAUUAAUACCCCAUAAUAUACUGAUAUCGCAUGAUAAUAGUAUUAAAGUUUCGGCGGUUAUAGAUGGGCAUGCGUGACAUUAGCUUGUUGGUGAGGUAAAGGCUCACCAAGGCAAAGAUGUCCAGGGGUUCUGAGAGGAUUAUCCCCCACACUGGUACUGAGACACGGACCAGACUCCUACGGGAGGCAGCAGUAAGGAAUAUUGGGCAAUGGACGGAAGUCUGACCCAGCCAUGCCGCGUGCAGGAUGACUGCCUUAUGGGUUGUAAACUGCUUUUAUACGGGAAAAAACAUCCGAACGUGUUCGGAAUUGAUGGUACCGUAUGAAUAAGGAUCGGCUAACUCCGUGCCAGCAGCCGCGGUAAUACGGAGGAUCCUAGCGUUAUCCGGAUUUAUUGGGUUUAAAGGGUGCGUAGGCGGAACGAUAAGUUAGUGGUGAAAUCCUAUGGCUUAACCAUAGAACUGCCAUUAAUACUGCCGUUCUUGAGUACAGUUGUAGUGGGCGGAAUGUGUUAUGUAGCGGUGAAAUGCAUAGAUAUGACACAGAACACCGAUCGCG